GACGAACGCUGGCGGCGUGCUUAACACAUGCAAGUCGAACGGAAAGGCCCUGCUUUUGUGGGGUGCUCGAGUGGCGAACGGGUGAGUAACACGUGAGUAACCUGCCCUUGACUUUGGGAUAACUUCAGGAAACUGGGGCUAAUACCGGAUAGGAGCUCCUGCUGCAUGGUGGGGGUUGGAAAGUUUCGGCGGUUGGGGAUGGACUCGCGGCUUAUCAGCUUGUUGGUGGGGUAGUGGCUUACCAAGGCUUUGACGGGUAGCCGGCCUGAGAGGGUGACCGGCCACAUUGGGACUGAGAUACGGCCCAGACUACUACGGGAGGCAGAAGUGGGGAAUAUUGCACAAUGGGCGGAAGCCUGAUGCAGCAACGCCGCGUGCGGGAUGACGGCCUUCGGGUUGUAAACAGCUUUCGCCUGUGACGAAGCGUGAGUGACGGUAAUGGGUAAAGAAGCACCGGCUAACUACGUG
Molecule: ribosomal RNA, 468 nt
Filed under: uncultured bacterium
Lineage: Bacteria
Description: partial 16S ribosomal RNA
Rfam family: Bacterial small subunit ribosomal RNA
Source: RNAcentral